CCCAGGUGGUCGCACAUCACUUGGAAAGCUCGAACAAACGCCCAGCUGUUGGGGUGAAGCUGGGCGGCGGCAAUGUUGAGCUCGGUAAGGAGUUCCCUCUCGAAUCGGGUGAAGGGAAACUUCAGUUUCACUUUCUUGAAUAGUGUUGUGUAGACGAAGCAGAAGGGCCCGUCAGCACUCACUUUGUCAUCAACACAGACGGGCAGAUCGGGGGAGCAAGGUAGCACUAUCAUUUUCUCAUCGUGCUCCUUGUGAAACGAUUGGUUGGGCUCAUCCCCCUUAGUCAGCCGCAAAACUGCUCCCGCAGUGUUCACAGAAGAUGUCUCCCUCAGAAGGGUCGAGUUGGCCCAGGGAUAC
This 357-nucleotide long non-coding RNA is filed under the name Phaseolus vulgaris (common bean). RNAcentral describes it as "long non-coding RNA (PVUL_LNC003942)". Lineage: Eukaryota; Viridiplantae; Streptophyta; Magnoliopsida; Fabales; Fabaceae. The record is from RNAcentral.